AUCCACCACCAGAGGCGCUGUAAUCAUGCAUUAGUUGCAUCCUCAGCCGUGAGUUUAAGCCGUGUCGCUCGCAUCGCACAUUCUUAGCGACCAGCUCGAAGGCCGAAGAGAUUUUGUAAAUAUUGACGUGCAACAAAUCGCUGAUUACGGCGUUCACGACGCGAGUUUACCUCCACGCGGACGCGCAAAUCAUCGCCGACACAUUCCUCCACCAACCUGAGCAUGUAACUACUCCCGGCGGGCGUUUUCACGGAACAAUCGGAUGUUAUUGUCGCGUGUGCGCGCGCCAGCAACGGAACGGGGUUGGGCGGCCAUGUUGAUGUCUCGAUGAUGGGCUCGGGCUCGCCGUGCGGCUGUAAUGGCAAGUGAAUAAUCUCAACUCAUCACGACAUUCGUCUUGAAUGCCCGCAAAAGCAUCCGCUCAACGCGAGAAUUGAAUUCGCGGCGUGCAUGUGCACAUCUACGCUGUGUGCUGUUUGAUUCGGUGCGAAACAAAAGUUGUUUGUGCGAAAACAAGUGACACUCGUGUACACCAUGGAUGAGACGAAGGUGAUUUAUCAUAUUGACGAUGAGGAGACGCCGUAUCUGGUGAAGAUACCCAUUGGGCCUGAUAAGGUGACUCUGGCUGAUUUUAAGAACGUGUUGAAUCGGCCCAACUAUAAAUUCUUUUUCAAGUCCAUGGAUGAUGACUUUGGGGUUGUUAAAGAAGAAAUUAUUGAAGAUGGUGCACAAUUACCCUGUUUUAAUGGGCGUGUCGUCAGUUGGUUGGUGUCUGCUGAAGGCUCAAACCAAAGCGACGGCGGCUCCCAAUGCACCGACAGCGUAACCCACUCCAACGAACCCCGUAUUCCUCCACACCCCCAACCGCCGGAAUCAGUCUGCACCGACACGGAAAGCAUCAUAAGUUCACGCGCCGGCCGCCGCCACCACAAGUACUCCUCGCGCAUGAACGGCCACAUGCCGCGCUUAUACGAAACCGCGUCCAUCGUCAGCUCCGACCUGGAGAGCACCAGCUUCCAGUCGGAGACCACCGGCCGCCACACCGCGCUCUCGGAGUGCUCCAGCAUGAGUCGGCUGCACGUCGCCGGGCGCAAACGACCGCAGCGACGGAGAAAACAGCGCAUGCAAGCCAUGUCGCGCACAUCCUCGUAUUCCUCCAUUACGGACUCGACGAUGUCGUUGAAUAUCAUCACGGUGACGCUCAAUAUGGACACGGUGAACUUCCUGGGCAUUUCGAUUGUUGGACAGAGUAAUAAGGGUGGAGAUGGGGGGAUUUAUGUAGGAUCUAUUAUGAAAGGUGGUGCUGUCGCGUUGGAUGGACGAAUUGAGCCCGGCGAUAUGAUUUUGCAAGUGAAUGAUGUCAACUUUGAGAAUAUGUCGAAUGAUGAAGCUGUGCGUGUCCUAAGGGAGGUUGUGCAGAAGCCCGGGCCUAUUAAGCUGGUCGUGGCGAAGUGCUGGGACCCGAAUCCUAAGGGGUACUUUACGAUACCACGGACUGAACCAGUCAGGCCGAUUGAUCCAGGUGCAUGGGUGGCACACACAGCAGCCGUAAGAGGUGAUCCAGUCGCACGCCCGCCCAGCAGCAGCACCGUCUCCAGCGCGUCCAUAGCCAGCACCAUCCCGGCGAACGAACGUGAGUGUCUGCUAGGUCCUGUGACUGGCGUGUUGGUAGAUCUGGACGAGCCGCUGCACGUCUCGGCGCCGAUGCACACGGUGGUGGCGGCGAUGGCGCGCCCCGACAGCGGCCUGGAGAUCCGCGACCGCAUGUGGCUGAAGAUCACCAUACCGAACGCGUUCAUCGGCACCGACAUGAUCGACUGGCUGCUGACGCACGUCGAGGGAUUCCAGGAUCGGCGUGAUACGCGCAAAUAUGCGUCGCAUCUCUUGAAGUCUGGGUUUAUACGGCACACUGUGAAUAAGAUCACGUUCUCCGAGCAGUGUUACUAUAUCUUUGGGGAUUUAUGCGCGGCGAUGUCCAGCUUGAAGCUGCAGGGGGAUACGGACAGUGUGGGCCCGCUGCCGAAUGUCCCGAAUUACAUGCCGUAUUCGGGCACGUAUAAUCCGUUGGAGUAUAUGCCGAUGCCGUUCUACACUGCCAGUGAGAAUACUGUUUAUGGGUAUAAUCGAGAGGAGAGCGUGCUUAGUGGUAGUGGUGGAUCUUCCGGUGGUUCCGAGCAUUUGAAAGACGCAGCAGCCGCCGCACACAGCUCCGCCUCCGACAGCGACCUCACCUCCCUCGGCCCCCGCUCCGCCCUGCCCAUGGCCGCCGGCAACAACGGCACCAGUAUCGGCGGCGGCAAUGGCAACGGCUCCUCGAACGGAUCGGAUCAGAGCAGCGGUACGCAGGUGGCGGCUCAGUCGAAGGAUCUAGCCGUUUUAAGUUACCUGUAGUGCGCGCGCAACUACCGUUCAUAUCAUCACAAACACACAAAACUCAUAAACAUUAAAAGUCUCUUUAUAUUAUAACAAUUUCCACAGACACACUGUAUGUAAAUGAAGUGCGAUUGUAAUAUUCAUCAUCACAACCGUAUACCACCGUAUCGUAGCAUAAGUUUUAUCAUUUGAUGUUUUCUGAUGCUGGUAGCCUGUGCGGAUAUCAGUUUGCGCAGACAUAAUCGCAAUUCAAGACUGAAGAAUUGGGAAUUAAUAAUCGUUGCGACGAGUGACGAGAUAAGUUUAUGUAAGGAUUUUCGAAGUGGCGAGAGAGGGUUUUGAUGGUUGAUUUGCGUGGUUAGCGACGAUUGGGUUUUCGAUUUGUGGGGUUGUUAAUAUUUUUGUACGUUUUCUACGUUCCUAUAUUGCCAUUUAGUCGUUUGGGUACCUAAACUAGGGGAAAAUGCGUAAAAUUUGUGUUUUAUGUUGGUUUUGUAUUAAUUAUUCAGUGCGUUGCCAAAAAUUCAUCAAACUUGUAUCAAUUGACGGUUAAAGAAUGGUUUUAUCAUGGGGAAGUAUAAAUUUGAAGGAAAUUUGUGUGAAUAUGUUGAAAAUUAAGUGUUUUGGCAGUUGGUGAUUUUAAUGCUCGUAAUUUAGGUUUUUGGGCUUUAACUUUUGAACUAUUUGUCAAAUAUUGAUCAAAUUUUUGGCAAAACCUAGAUAAAGUCAUGCUUUAUCUCGGGGAGUAUUAACUUUUUGUGAAAAUUUGUGAGAAAAUGUCAAAAAUUAAUUUUUUCGGAGGUUUUGCAGUUUAUGCUUAAAAAAACAACUUUAGUUUUUUGGUCAUAAUUUUUGAGCCAGUUGUCGAAUGUUUAUCAAACUAGCAUCAAAACAUAGCCAAAGAAAAGCACUUACCUAGAUAAUAUAAGAUUUGAAUGAAUUUUGUUGUGAAAGUGCCGAAAAUUUAGAUUUUCUGUGAAUUUUGCUGUUUUUGCGAUAAAACUACCAACUUUUC
Dalotia coriaria is the source of this 3388-nucleotide RNA transcript. It is a transcript of the gene named Segment polarity protein dishevelled, with no coding region annotated. NCBI's taxonomy places the organism in Eukaryota, Metazoa, Arthropoda, Insecta, Coleoptera, Staphylinidae. The record is from RefSeq and is a predicted model, not a curated record. The transcript is spliced from 9 exons.